RNAcentral lists this ribosomal RNA (484 nucleotides) under uncultured bacterium. Its description in RNAcentral is "partial 16S ribosomal RNA". It matches the Rfam family "Bacterial small subunit ribosomal RNA", at positions 28 to 507 of the family's 1533-position model. The record is from RNAcentral.
AUUGAACGCUGGCGGCAUGCUUUACACAUGCAAGUCGAACGGCAGCGCGGGCUUCGGCCUGGCGGCGAGUGGCGAACGGGUGAGUAAUGCAUCGGAACGUGCCCAGUAGUGCGGGAUAGCCCGGCGAAAGCCGGAUUAAUACCGCAUACGACCUGAGGGUGAAAGCGGGGGACCGAAAGGCCUCGCGCUAUUGGAGCGGCCGAUGUCGGAUUAGCUAGUUGGUGGGGUAAAGGCUUACCAAGGCGACGAUCCGUAGCUGGUCUGAGAGGACGACCAGCCACACUGGGACUGAGACACGGCCCAGACUCCUACGGGAGGCAGCAGUGGGGAAUUUUGGACAAUGGGGGCAACCCUGAUCCAGCCAUGCCGCGUGCGGGAAGAAGGCCUUCGGGUUGUAAACCGCUUUUGUUCGGGAAGAAAUCCUCUGGGCUAAUACCCCGGGGGGAUGACGGUACCGGAAGAAUAAGCACCGGCUAACUACGUG